Molecule: ribosomal RNA, 443 nt
Filed under: uncultured bacterium
Lineage: Bacteria
Description: bacterial SSU rRNA
Rfam family: Bacterial small subunit ribosomal RNA
Source: RNAcentral
AACGCGAAGAACCUUACCUGGGCUCGAAAUGCAGGAGACCGGGGUAGAAAUAUCCCUUCCUCGCAAGAGGCUGCUGUAUAGGUGCUGCAUGGCUGUCGUCAGCUCGUGUCGUGAGAUGUUGGGUUAAGUCCCGCAACGAGCGCAACCCUCAUCCCUAGUUGCCACCGGGUAAUGCCGAGCACUCUAGUGAAACUGCCUGGGAUAACCAGGAGGAAGGUGGGGAUGACGUCAAGUCCUCAUGGCCUUUAUGUCCAGGGCUACACACGUGCUACAAUGGUCGGUACAAACCGUCGCAAACCCGUGAGGGGGAGCUAAUCGGAAAAAGCCGGCCUCAGUUCGGAUUGGAGUCUGCAACUCGACUCCAUGAAGCUGGAAUCGCUAGUAAUCGCGGAUCAGAACGCCGCGGUGAAUACGUUCCCGGGCCUUGUACACACCGACGCGUA